This 1828-nucleotide ribosomal RNA is filed under the name Aliinostoc sp. SA46. RNAcentral's name for it is "bacterial SSU rRNA". The stretch from base 1 to 1481 matches the Rfam family "Bacterial small subunit ribosomal RNA". The record is from RNAcentral. Lineage: Bacteria; Bacillati; Cyanobacteriota; Cyanophyceae; Nostocales; Nodulariaceae.
AGAGUUUGAUCCUGGCUCAGGAUGAACGCUGGCGGUAUGCUUAACACAUGCAAGUCGAACGGUCACUUCGGUGAUAGUGGCGGACGGGUGAGUAACGCGUGAGAAUCUAGCUCUAGGUCGGGGACAACCACUGGAAACGGUGGCUAAUACCGGAUGAGCCGAAAGGUAAAAGAUUAAUUGCCUAGAGAUGAGCUCGCGUCUGAUUAGCUAGUAGGUGUGGUAAGAGCGCACCUAGGCGACGAUCAGUAGCUGGUCUGAGAGGAUGAUCAGCCACACUGGGACUGAGACACGGCCCAGACUCCUACGGGAGGCAGCAGUGGGGAAUUUUCCGCAAUGGGCGAAAGCCUGACGGAGCAAUACCGCGUGAGGGAGGAAGGCUCUUGGGUUGUAAACCUCUUUUCUCAGGGAAUAAGAACUGAAGGUACCUGAGGAAUAAGCAUCGGCUAACUCCGUGCCAGCAGCCGCGGUAAUACGGAGGAUGCAAGCGUUAUCCGGAAUGAUUGGGCGUAAAGGGUCCGCAGGUGGCCUUGUAAGUCUGCUGUUAAAGAGUGAGGCUUAACCUCAUAAAAGCAGUGGAAACUACAAAGCUAGAGUGCGUUCGGGGUAGCAGGAAUUCCUGGUGUAGCGGUGAAAUGCGUAGAGAUCAGGAAGAACACCGGUGGCGAAAGCGUGCUACUAGGCCGUAACUGACACUGAGGGACGAAAGCUAGGGGAGCGAAUGGGAUUAGAUACCCCAGUAGUCCUAGCCGUAAACGAUGGAUACUAGGCGUGGCUUGUAUCGACCCGAGCCGUGCCGGAGCUAACGCGUUAAGUAUCCCGCCUGGGGAGUACGCACGCAAGUGUGAAACUCAAAGGAAUUGACGGGGGCCCGCACAAGCGGUGGAGUAUGUGGUUUAAUUCGAUGCAACGCGAAGAACCUUACCAAGACUUGACAUGUCGCGAAUCCUCUUGAAAGGGAGGAGUGCCUUCGGGAGCGCGAACACAGGUGGUGCAUGGCUGUCGUCAGCUCGUGUCGUGAGAUGUUGGGUUAAGUCCCGCAACGAGCGCAACCCUCGUUUUUAGUUGCCAGCAUUAAGUUGGGCACUCUAGAGAGACUGCCGGUGACAAACCGGAGGAAGGUGGGGAUGACGUCAAGUCAGCAUGCCCCUUACGUCUUGGGCUACACACGUACUACAAUGCUACGGACAAAGGGCAGCUACACAGCGAUGUGAUGCAAAUCUCAGAAACCGUAGCUCAGUUCAGAUCGAAGCUUGCAACUCAGCUUCGUGAAGGAGGAAUCGCUAGUAAUUGCAGGUCAGCAUACUGCAGUGAAUUCGUUCCCGGGCCUUGUACACACCGCCCGUCACACCAUGGAAGCUGGUCACGCCCGAAGUCAUUACCUCAACCUUUCGGGGAGGGGGAUGCCUAAGGUAGGACUGGUGACUGGGGUGAAGUCGUAACAAGGUAGCCGUACCGGAAGGUGUGGCUGGAUCACCUCCUUUUUAGGGAGACCUAAUCCACUCAGAAUCUCGAAAGCAAACAGCAAAUAGAGAAUGAGAGGGUCUAGCCUAGGUCGGUCGAGAUUGGUGAAAGCUUUCUCAGUCAUACUUUUCGGUUGAUUAACUAAAAAAACUGCAGUAGAGAGACGAAACAGUCAGCAACUGACGAAAUUAGAGAAUAAAGUCCGACUGCUGGGUGUCAUUACGGCCAGGAACAUGAAAACUGCAUAGAUAUCGCGUAAGAAUAGCCCGGGCGACACUAGUAUCGAACUGAUAGGUAGUGUGUGCUGGAUGAGAUCUAGUUGUAUUGUGACAAGCCAUCAAUGGCUGAUGGUGGAUACCUGGGCCCG